UGAUAAGUACGGUCAAUGACAGCAGCACCAGCCAUGACCCCAGGCCGGGGCUGGCGAAAAACUGUAGACUGACAGUUGAAUAGAGCGCUGCGCAAAGCAGUAAUAGACCCAGGCCAGUAAUGCUGGUUAGCAGCAUUGAACUUGUCCAGUUCCUCGGUUUUGUCAUGUUAUCGGGUGUCCCCAGGGCUUCGAACCCUGACGCUUGGGAAGACUGAUUGGGAAGGUAAGGCUUAAGAGUUUGUGGAUUGGAGAUGUUGGCUAAUUGCCAACAUUGUUGAGCUGCGGUAACUAUAACCUGCUCAAAGGCUUGGGGUCAACAAUAUGCAGAGAUUUCUUGACUUAACCGGCGGAGAGGAACCAGACGGUGACAAUGUCGGGUGUUUUUACCGUUCGACACGCUUAGCCGCUCGAUCUUCCAGUUGGGCGGAGAGCUCGUCAGGGCUUGUGACCGGCUGGCUGCACGUAAAGUUCUCGCACACAUAGGCGGUCGCUUUUCCUUCCACUUGAACGCGAUUCAUUAACAGCGGGCUGAUGUUGGCAGCGGCGGUGUCGUUGGGCGACGCCAUAACCACGACCUUGUUUGGCAGAUAACGCUGCCAGACCUCGUGCUUCAGUGCGAGGGUCUCAGAAGAUUCAAGAUCCCCAAGUAUCGCAAUUUCCUUUGGUUUCCCCAGGUGAAAAUCCAGCGCGCACAGCAGCCGGCCGAAGCCGGAAGAAUAACGAGCCAGACUCGCGGCAUUCAAACGAAGUAUGGAUAGGGCCAGUCGCUGAUAAUCGGCGUUGUCGGUCAACAGACCCAGGCGCAACAGAACUUCCGCUGCCACUGAGUUGCCUGAAGGUGUUGCAUUGUCAAAAUAAUCCUUAGACCGAACGAUUAAUUGCUCAUGCGACUUGCCGGUGAAGAAGAAUCCACCUUCCUCAUCGUCCCAAAACUCGCUGAUCAUCGUCGUCGUCAAAUCCAAAGCUUCGUGCAACCAUCGCAACUCGCCGGUAGUUUCGAAGAGCGUCAACAAGCCAUCGAUAUAAAACGCAUAGUCUUCGAGAUAAGCGUUCAGCUUGGCUUGGCCGUCUUUGUAGGUUCGUAACAGCAAUCCAUCCUGGCGAAGUUCUUCAAGUAUGAACUCGGCGUUCCUUUUGGCAAUUUCCGUGUAGUCCGGGCGAUUCAGAACGGCUCCGGCUUCCGCAAAACUUGCCAACAUCAAACCAUUCCAUGCCGUCAGCACCUUCUCGUCUCUACCCGGCUUUAUCCUGGCUUCGCGUGUCUCGAAGAGUUUCUGACGACCGCGCGCGAGAGCUUCGUUGAGUUGCUGCUCACUAACGCCAGCAGAGUCGGCAACAUCCAUCACAUCCUUCGUUACGUUCAGAAUGUUUUCGUCUU
This 1378-nucleotide unclassified non-coding RNA is filed under the name uncultured fungus. RNAcentral's name for it is "sequence contains 18S rRNA gene, ITS1, 5.8S rRNA gene, ITS2, 28S rRNA gene". The record is from RNAcentral. Lineage: Eukaryota; Fungi.